RNAcentral lists this long non-coding RNA (601 nucleotides) under Homo sapiens (human). RNAcentral describes it as "non-protein coding lnc-MICA-8:1". The record is from RNAcentral. Lineage: Eukaryota; Metazoa; Chordata; Mammalia; Primates; Hominidae.
GCCUGUACCCUAGUGCUUUGUAUGGCUGUGGCUGUUCAGCCCCUACUUCUGAUCCCCUAGGACUGGGAGCAGCCCGCCUGGGGGAGACCAUCAGGAUGUCUAUGGAAGGCUGCUUCAUGCUACAAGGGCAGAGUUAAGUCUUUGGUAUAGAGACUGGUUGGCAAAGUUGAAAAUGUUGCCCCAGGUCCUUUUGGGGAUUAUUUACCAGCCCCUGGUUUGAGUGUUGUCUGGCAGGACCCAGGCUCUGGGAGCUGAUCCUCCCUCACUCAAGGCCUGCUGCAGCCUCCCGCUGAGGUCUUGAAACCAUCAGGAGCAGUUGUUCUUUGGCCUCCGGGACACCGCAGGGCUGAGUUGCUCCCUGCCUGGAGGUGGUCCCAUGGGGCCCACUGUCUGGGUCAAGGAUGGUGCAGAGCUGGUGUCCUCAAAAUGCAUCCUGGUGGAGCCCCAGCAGCUGCAGGUGCUGACUGCCUCUCACGAGGACCCUGGGGGCCUGCAGCUGCAGCGACUCACCCAGCAUGAGCGGUGCCACUCAGUGUGCACAUGACAGAUGCUCCAUCCUCAGGAGAUGACAAAGACGGGAGGACAAGGUGAAGACACAGGU